This 72-nucleotide transfer RNA is filed under the name Promethearchaeota archaeon. Its description in RNAcentral is "Candidatus Lokiarchaeota archaeon tRNA-Trp". It matches the Rfam family "tRNA". From Rfam's summary of the family: Transfer RNA (tRNA) molecules are approximately 80 nucleotides in length. The record is from RNAcentral. Lineage: Archaea; Promethearchaeati; Promethearchaeota.
GGGGAUUUGGUCUAGUAGUAUGAUAUCCGGCUCCAGACCGGACGGUCAAGGGUUCAAUUCCCUUAGUCCCCA